This 2460-nucleotide ribosomal RNA is filed under the name Triticum aestivum (bread wheat). Its description in RNAcentral is "partial small subunit ribosomal RNA". Lineage: Eukaryota; Viridiplantae; Streptophyta; Magnoliopsida; Poales; Poaceae. The record is from RNAcentral.
AUGUCAAGGCUCAAGAGCGGGCUCCCCCAGCGGCGGCCGCGCCCGCGACGACCCAGCGCCACCGCCGCCGCCCCGCCCCUCCCUCGCCCGGCCAUCUGCGCGGGGCCGAGGGCGCGGCGCGUCGAUCCGGGGCGCGGGUCGCUGCCCGCGCCCGGCGGCGGGGGCGCGCGGGCGAUGAGGUCCGGCGGAGCGCUGCCCGCCACGGUCGGCCUCGCUUCACAGGCUGCAAAGAAUCUUGUAGCUAUGGCCGCGGCACCUUCAGCCCCUGCUUUCGGGGCAUUCGCUGCAAAUACACCUUCUGGAGCAGUUCGGCAGAUGACAAUUAUUAUUACUCUGUAUUCCACCGCGCCUUUUUGGUUGACUGUUGCUACCGAGGAAAGGGCACGGGGCGUGCACUCUGGUGCUGCUGCUUUUCUUUCUACCAAGAUCCAUAGGAGUGGCCCAGAAAGAGUUAUACACAACUUCAAAACGCUAAACCGAGGAAUUUCAAGUGCGGCAAGGGAGGAAGGACGUGUUCUUGGUACUGCUAGUGCACCCCAGUACACAGUAGAGAAGGACCUACUUAAAAAGCAGCUUCUGCGUACCAUCUCUGCCCUUACAGUUACUGGCUUUGCCAUAUAUGGCGUUAAGGUUAUGCUUGAUAGUGCCAUAGACACCAAAGUUAGCAAAUUCGAUGGUUUGAAAGAAGUAUUAGCCACAGAUUUAAGCACAAGAUUUAGUGAUGUAAAGGGGGUUGAUGAAGCCAAAGCUGAGCUCGAAGACAUAGUUCACUACCUACGAGAUCCCGAUAGUUUCAAACGCCUUGGUGGCAAGCUUCCAAAGGGUGUUUUGCUUGUGGGCCAACCUGGCACAGGGAAGACAAUGCUAGCAAGGUCGGUAGCUGGGGAAGCCGGCGUCCCUUUCUUCUCGUGCAGUGGCAGUGAUUUCGAAGAGAUGUAUGUUGGCGUUGGUGCUAGGAGAGUGAGGGAGCUCUUCAGAGCAGCAAAGAAGCGAUCUCCUUGCAUAGUGUUUAUCGAUGAAAUAGAUGCAAUUGGUGGGCGCAGAGACGCUGAAGGUUUAACGUCACAGAAGCCGGCUCUGAACCAGCUGCUUGUUGAGAUGGAUGGCUUCAAGCAGAAUGACGGGAUUAUUGUGAUCGCAGCAACGACCUUGCCGCAGUCACUAGAUAGCGCUCUUGUCAGGCCUGGACGUUUUGACUGUCAAGUUCAUGUUUCGGUUCCAGAUGUUGAGGGCCGCCGACAGAUCCUCGAGGCUUACAUGUCAAAGGUGAGUAAAUCCAAGGAUGUGGAUGCGAUGACCAUCGCAAGGGGGACGCCUGGGUUCUCAGGUGCAGCCCUUGCAAACCUAGUGAACACUGCCGCUCUCAAGGCUUCCAGGGAUGGGGCAAAUGCUGUUGGGAUGGGUCACCUUGAGUACGCCAUGGACAGGAUCAUCAUGGGCAGGGAGCGCAAGUCGAUGGUGAUAUCCGAUCUAUCAAAGAAGAGGACUGCAUACCACGAGGCUGGGCACGCCCUUGUUGCUAUCCUCACGGACGGUGCUAACACUGUCCACAAGGCCACCAUCGUGCCUAUUGGAAAUGCUCUCGGCAAGGUGACGCAGCUGCCAGGGGAAGACAGCCACCUCACAAGGAAGCAGAUGCUGGCGAGGCUCGACGUCGCCAUGGGAGGACGGGUGGCCGAUGAGCUUAUAUUUGGAGAAGCAGGGAUCACCACUGGUGCCUCAUCUGACCUAGGCAAGGCAACUCGAUAUGCGAAAGACAUGGUCGUCAGGUAUGGUAUGAGCAAGCGGGUCGGCCUUGUUACCUAUGGCAAUGACACCAAUGCUGCCCGUGGCAAAGCGAUGGCCAUGAGCGGGCGGACGAUAGGUCUGGUUGAUGAGGAGGUAAAAGCAUUAUUGGACAACGCUUACAGGAACGCGAAAAAGAUUCUCACGGAGCACAACAAGGAGUUCCAUGCGCUAGCAAAUGCCCUCCUGGAGCAUGAAACUCUCACUGGUGACCAGAUCAAGAAACUAGUUUUGACAGGACGGCAAGGAGUUGGUCGUAGCAGCAGCCGGCAAAAUCAGGGAACACCUUCUCUCACUGGUGACCAGAUCAAGAAACGAGUUUCGACAGGACGACAAGGAGAUGGUCGUAGCAACAGCCAGCAAAAUCAGGGAACACCUUCUCUCACUGGUGACCAGAUCAAGAAACUAGUAUCACCAGACCAACAAGUAGAUGGUGGUAACAAUAGCGAUCAGGGAACGUCUUCUCUCUCUGGGGACGAGAGCACCAAAUCAAUGUCAACAGAAGAACAAGGAGAUGGUCCUAGCAGCAGCCAGCAUAAUGAGGGAGCACCGUCUAUCACUGGUGAGGAGGCCACAAAACUAGUUUCGACAGAACAACAAGCAGAUAGUUAUAGCGGUAGCCAGCAGGAUGAGGGAACACCUUCUCUCACGCGCAACGAGGGCGCCAACCAGUGA